CUCGGCAAGCUGUCCUGAUCCAUUCUGGGCUACCGAGGGCCCCGGGGUGGCUACUGACUGCGUGGCACCCAUGGGUGCUCGGCCGGGUGUCCCCGUCCAGUCUGGCCUACUGAGGGCCCCGGGGUGGCUACCGACUGUGUGGCACCCAUGGGUGUUGGGCCAGGUGUCCCCGUCCAAUCUGGGCUACUGAGGGCCCUGGGGUGGCUACCGACUCCAUAGCACCCAUGGGUGCUCGGCCGGGUGUCCCGAUCCGUUCUGGGCUAACAACAUUAUCAGGGUGGCUACCGACUGCGUGGCACCCAUGGGUGCUCGGCAAGCUGUCCUAAUCCAUUCUGGGCUACCGAGGGCCCCAGGGUGGCUACUGACUGCAUGGCACCCAUGGGUGCUCGGCAAGCUGUCCUGAUCCAUUCUGGGCUUGGUGGCCCGUGGUGACCGUUGAGUUGCCAUUGGUGGCCCAUGGUGGCCCUUGGGUUGUGGUUGGUGCCCAUUGGGUCGCGGUUGGUGUCCCCUGGUGGCCCUUGGGUUGACGUUGGUGGCCCUUGGGUUGACGUUGGUGGCCCAUGGUGGCCAUUGGGUUGUGGUUGGUGGCCAUUGUGGCCAUUGGGUUGGGGUUGGUGGCCCUUGGUGGCCACUGGGUUGGGGUUGGUGGCCCUUGGGUUGGGGUUGGUGACCCCUGGGUUGGGGUUGGUGGCCUUGGGUUGGGGUUGGUGUCUCAUGGUGGCCAUUAAGUUGGGGUUGGUGUCCCCUGGUGGCCCUUGGGUUGACAUUGGUGGCCACUGAGUUGACAUUGGUGGCCACUGGGUUGCGAUGGUGGCCCUUGGAUUGACAUUGAUGGCCCUUGGUGGCCACUGGGUUGCAAUAGUGGCCCUUGGGUUGGGGUUGGUGGCCCUUGGUGGCCCUUGGGUUGACGUUGGUGGCCCUUGGUGGCCCUUGGCUUGGGGUUGGUGGCCCUUGGCUUGGGGUUGGUGGCCCUUGGUGGCCACUGGGUUGCCAUUGAUGGCCCUUGGGUUGACGUUGGUGGCCACUGGGUUGACGUUGGUGGCCCUUGGGUUGGGGUUGGUGUUCCUUGGUGGCCCUUGGGUUGAUGUUGGUGGCCCAUGGUGGCCAUUGGGUUGGGGUUGGUGGCCCUGGGGUUGGGGUUGGUG
RNAcentral lists this long non-coding RNA (1145 nucleotides) under Numida meleagris (helmeted guineafowl). RNAcentral describes it as "lncRNA (ENSNMEG00000002922.1)". Lineage: Eukaryota; Metazoa; Chordata; Aves; Galliformes; Numididae. The record is from RNAcentral.